GACGAACGCUGGCGGCGUGCCUAAUACAUGCAAGUCGAACGCUGAAGGAGGAGCUUGCUUCUCUGGAUGAGUUGCGAACGGGUGAGUAACGCGUAGGUAACCUGCCUGGUAGCGGGGGAUAACUAUUGGAAACGAUAGCUAAUACCGCAUAAGAGUAGAUGUUGCAUGACAUUUGCUUAAAAGGUGCAAUUGCAUCACUACCAGAUGGACCUGCGUUGUAUUAGCUAGUUGGUGGGGUAACGGCUUACCAAGGCGACGAUACAUAGCCGACCUGAGAGGGUGAUCGGCCACACUGGGACUGAGACACGGCCCAGACUCCUACGGGAGGCAGCAGUAGGGAAUCUUCGGCAAUGGACGGAAGUCUGACCGAGCAACGCCGCGUGAGUGAAGAAGGUUUUCGGAUCGUAAAGCUCGGUUGUAAGAGAAGAACGAGUGUGAGAGUGGAAAGUUCACACUGUGACGGUAUCUUACCAGAAAGGGACGGCUAACUACGUG
Molecule: ribosomal RNA, 495 nt
Filed under: uncultured bacterium
Lineage: Bacteria
Description: partial 16S ribosomal RNA
Rfam family: Bacterial small subunit ribosomal RNA
Source: RNAcentral